RNAcentral lists this ribosomal RNA (1540 nucleotides) under Klebsiella aerogenes. RNAcentral describes it as "bacterial SSU rRNA". It matches the Rfam family "Bacterial small subunit ribosomal RNA". Lineage: Bacteria; Pseudomonadati; Pseudomonadota; Gammaproteobacteria; Enterobacterales; Enterobacteriaceae. The record is from RNAcentral.
AAAUUGAAGAGUUUGAUCAUGGCUCAGAUUGAACGCUGGCGGCAGGCCUAACACAUGCAAGUCGAGCGGUAGCACAGAGAGCUUGCUCUCGGGUGACGAGCGGCGGACGGGUGAGUAAUGUCUGGGAAACUGCCUGAUGGAGGGGGAUAACUACUGGAAACGGUAGCUAAUACCGCAUAACGUCGCAAGACCAAAGUGGGGGACCUUCGGGCCUCAUGCCAUCAGAUGUGCCCAGAUGGGAUUAGCUAGUAGGUGGGGUAAUGGCUCACCUAGGCGACGAUCCCUAGCUGGUCUGAGAGGAUGACCAGCCACACUGGAACUGAGACACGGUCCAGACUCCUACGGGAGGCAGCAGUGGGGAAUAUUGCACAAUGGGCGCAAGCCUGAUGCAGCCAUGCCGCGUGUAUGAAGAAGGCCUUCGGGUUGUAAAGUACUUUCAGCGAGGAGGAAGGCGUUAAGGUUAAUAACCUUGGCGAUUGACGUUACUCGCAGAAGAAGCACCGGCUAACUCCGUGCCAGCAGCCGCGGUAAUACGGAGGGUGCAAGCGUUAAUCGGAAUUACUGGGCGUAAAGCGCACGCAGGCGGUCUGUCAAGUCGGAUGUGAAAUCCCCGGGCUCAACCUGGGAACUGCAUUCGAAACUGGCAGGCUAGAGUCUUGUAGAGGGGGGUAGAAUUCCAGGUGUAGCGGUGAAAUGCGUAGAGAUCUGGAGGAAUACCGGUGGCGAAGGCGGCCCCCUGGACAAAGACUGACGCUCAGGUGCGAAAGCGUGGGGAGCAAACAGGAUUAGAUACCCUGGUAGUCCACGCCGUAAACGAUGUCGACUUGGAGGUUGUGCCCUUGAGGCGUGGCUUCCGGAGCUAACGCGUUAAGUCGACCGCCUGGGGAGUACGGCCGCAAGGUUAAAACUCAAAUGAAUUGACGGGGGCCCGCACAAGCGGUGGAGCAUGUGGUUUAAUUCGAUGCAACGCGAAGAACCUUACCUACUCUUGACAUCCAGAGAACUUAGCAGAGAUGCUUUGGUGCCUUCGGGAACUCUGAGACAGGUGCUGCAUGGCUGUCGUCAGCUCGUGUUGUGAAAUGUUGGGUUAAGUCCCGCAACGAGCGCAACCCUUAUCCUUUGUUGCCAGCGAUUAGGUCGGGAACUCAAAGGAGACUGCCAGUGAUAAACUGGAGGAAGGUGGGGAUGACGUCAAGUCAUCAUGGCCCUUACGAGUAGGGCUACACACGUGCUACAAUGGCAUAUACAAAGAGAAGCGACCUCGCGAGAGCAAGCGGACCUCAUAAAGUAUGUCGUAGUCCGGAUUGGAGUCUGCAACUCGACUCCAUGAAGUCGGAAUCGCUAGUAAUCGUAGAUCAGAAUGCUACGGUGAAUACGUUCCCGGGCCUUGUACACACCGCCCGUCACACCAUGGGAGUGGGUUGCAAAAGAAGUAGGUAGCUUAACCUUCGGGAGGGCGCUUACCACUUUGUGAUUCAUGACUGGGGUGAAGUCGUAACAAGGUAACCGUAGGGGAACCUGCGGUUGGAUCACCUCCUUA